UACGUAGGGUGCAAGCGUUGUCCGGAAUUAUUGGGCGUAAAGAGCUCGUAGGCGGUCUGUCGCGUCGGAUGUGAAAAUCCAGGGCUCAACCCUGGACCUGCAUUCGAUACGGGCAGACUAGAGUUCGGCAGGGGAGACUGGAAUUCCUGGUGUAGCGGUGAAAUGCGCAGAUAUCAGGAGGAACACCUAUAGCGAAGGCAGCUUACUGGGCUGUAACUGACGCUGAGGCACGAAAAGUGUGGGGGAUCAAACAGG
Molecule: ribosomal RNA, 255 nt
Filed under: uncultured bacterium
Lineage: Bacteria
Description: partial 16S ribosomal RNA
Rfam family: Bacterial small subunit ribosomal RNA
Source: RNAcentral